UACGUAGGGGGCGAGCGUUGUCCGGAUUUAUUGGGCGUAAAGAGCUCGUAGGCGGUUUGGUAAGUUGGAUUUGAAAUCUCCAGGCUCAACUUAGAGGGGUCAUUCGAUACUGCCAUGACUAGAGUUCGGUAGGGGAGUGUGGAAUUCCUGGUGGAGCGGUGAAAUGCGCAGAUAUCAGGAGGAACACCCGUAGCGAAGGCGGCACUCUGGGCAGGAACUGACGCUGAGGAGCGAAAGCGUGGGGAGCGAACAGG
RNAcentral lists this ribosomal RNA (254 nucleotides) under uncultured bacterium. RNAcentral's name for it is "partial 16S ribosomal RNA". It matches the Rfam family "Bacterial small subunit ribosomal RNA", at positions 524 to 776 of the family's 1533-position model. The record is from RNAcentral.